AAAAAUCCAAUUAACAAAAUGUUGGCAGGACAAAAAUAUUUAAGUUGAACUAAUUUUAUUGCUUGGGUUACGUUGAGAAGACAUUAUAUUAAGUCUGCACAAAUAUACUUUAAAAACAUUAAAUGAAUGAUUAUUUUCAAAUCCAGUCAACGUUCAGAAUGCCAAUGUCUGACUGAACUAAUAAAAACAAAUCCAGCCAACACUGACGUCAUUCCGCACGUGCACGAGCCUGAGUGACUUCGCGGGAGAAACAGUGCCGCCAUCUUGUCAAGUUCACGCGUCAGUCACCGCAUGCUCCCUGUUGUGCUCUGGAUUGUGGAAUGGAUGUGUGCCCAAAAAAAGGGUGUGGCUAAAGGUUUCAUUGGUGCUUUGUCAUCAUUGCAAGAUUUCAGAUGCAACCCAGUCAGUUCUUUCAAGGCACCAAACACUGGCACGUGACCAGACUGCUCCACUGCAACUACAUACUGUGUGUACUUUCAAGACUAGGAUUUUUUGUUUUCAUUCCAGUCUGUUUCAUUCUUAUUCCGAGGUGAAUGUAGCCACCCAGAUCCAGUCU
Long non-coding RNA from Cyprinus carpio (common carp), 556 nucleotides. RefSeq lists it as uncharacterized. Lineage: Eukaryota; Metazoa; Chordata; Actinopteri; Cypriniformes; Cyprinidae. The transcript is spliced from 4 exons. The record is from RefSeq and is a predicted model, not a curated record.